CCUACGGGUGGCAGCAGUGAGGAAUAUUGGUCAAUGGACGAGAGUCUGAACCAGCCAAGUAGCGUGAAGGAUGACUGCCCUAUGGGUUGUAAACUUCUUUUAUAUGGGAAUAAAACGUUCCACGUGUGGGAUUUUGUAUGUACCAUAUGAAUAAGGAUCGGCUAACUCCGUGCCAGCAGCCGCGGUAAUACGGAGGAUCCGAGCGUUACCCGGAUUUAUUGGGUUUAAAGGGAGCGUAGGUGGAUUGUUAAGUCAGUUGUGAAAGUUUGCGGCUCAACCGUAAAAUUGCAGUUGAAACUGGCAGUCUUGAGUGCAGUAGAGGUGGGCGGAAUUCGUGGUGUAGCGGUGAAAUGCUUAGAUAUCACGAAGAACUCCGAUUGCGAAGGCAGUUCACUGGACUGCAACUGACACUGAGGCUCGAAAGUGUGGGUAUCAAACAGGAUUAGAUACCCCUGUAGUC
RNAcentral lists this ribosomal RNA (460 nucleotides) under uncultured bacterium. Its description in RNAcentral is "partial 16S ribosomal RNA". It matches the Rfam family "Bacterial small subunit ribosomal RNA", at positions 338 to 795 of the family's 1533-position model. The record is from RNAcentral.